GCUUACGGCCAUACCAGCCUGNNUACGCCCGAUCUCGUCCGAUCUCAGAAGCCAAGCAGGCUCAUGCCUGUUAAGUAGUUGGAUUGGAGACCGCCUGGGAAUACCAAGUACUGUGAUCUU
RNAcentral lists this ribosomal RNA (120 nucleotides) under Plectorhinchus mediterraneus (rubberlip grunt). The record is from RNAcentral. Lineage: Eukaryota; Metazoa; Chordata; Actinopteri; Lutjaniformes; Haemulidae.